This 491-nucleotide ribosomal RNA is filed under the name uncultured bacterium. RNAcentral's name for it is "partial 16S ribosomal RNA". It matches the Rfam family "Bacterial small subunit ribosomal RNA", at positions 29 to 507 of the family's 1533-position model. The record is from RNAcentral.
AGUGAACGCUGGCGGUAGGCCUAACACAUGCAAGUCGAACGGCAGCACAGUAAGAGCUUGCUCUUACGGGUGGCGAGUGGCGGACGGGUGAGGAAUACAUCGGAAUCUACUUUUUCGUGGGGAUAACGUAGGGAAACUUACGCUAAUACCGCAUACGACCUACGGGUGAAAGCAGGGGAUCUUCGGACCUUGCGCGAUUGAAUGAGCCGAUGUCGGAUUAGCUAGUUGGCGGGGUAAAGGCCCACCAAGGCGACGAUCCGUAGCUGGUCUGAGAGGAUGAUCAGCCACACUGGAACUGGAACACGGUCCAGACUCCUACGGGAGGCAGCAGUGGGGAAUAUUGGACAAUGGGCGCAAGCCUGAUCCAGCCAUACCGCGUGGGUGAAGAAGGCCUUCGGGUUGUAAAGCCCUAUUGUUGGGAAAGAAAAGCAGCAGGUUAAUACCCCGCUGUUCUGACGGUACCCAAAGAAUAAGCACCGGCUAACUUCGUG